UUAAGCGACUAAGCGUACACGGUGGAUGCCCUGGCAGUCAGAGGCGAUGAAGGACGUGCUAAUCUGCGAUAAGCGUCGGUGAGGUGAUAUGAACCGUUAUAACCGGCGAUUUCCGAAUGGGGAAACCCAGUGUGUUUCGACACACUAUCAUUAACUGAAUCCAUAGGUUAAUGAGGCGAACCGGGGGAACUGAAACAUCUAAGUACCCCGAGGAAAAGAAAUCAACCGAGAUUCCCCCAGUAGCGGCGAGCGAACGGGGAGGAGCCCAGAGCCUGAAUCAGUGUGUGUGUUAGUGGAAGCGUCUGGAAAGGCGUGCGAUACAGGGUGACAGCCCCGUACACAAAAAUGCACAUAUUGUGAGCUCGAUGAGUAGGGCGGGACACGUGGUAUCCUGUCUGAAUAUGGGGGGACCAUCCUCCAAGGCUAAAUACUCCUGACUGACCGAUAGUGAACCAGUACCGUGAGGGAAAGGCGAAAAGAACCCCGGCGAGGGGAGUGAAAAAGAACCUGAAACCGUGUACGUACAAGCAGUGGGAGCCUCUUAAUGGGGUGACUGCGUACCUUUUGUAUAAUGGGUCAGCGACUUAUAUUCUGUAGCAAGGUUAACCGAAUAGGGGAGCCGAAGGGAAACCGAGUCUUAACUGGGCGUUAAGUUGCAGGGUAUAGACCCGAAACCCGGUGAUCUAGCCAUGGGCAGGUUGAAGGUUGGGUAACACUAACUGGAGGACCGAACCGACUAAUGUUGAAAAAUUAGCGGAUGACUUGUGGCUGGGGGUGAAAGGCCAAUCAAACCGGGAGAUAGCUGGUUCUCCCCGAAAGCUAUUUAGGUAGCGCCUCGUGAAUUCAUCUCCGGGGGUAGAGCACUGUUUCGGCAAGGGGGUCAUCCCGACUUACCAACCCGAUGCAAACUGCGAAUACCGGAGAAUGUUAUCACGGGAGACACACGGCGGGUGCUAACGUCCGUCGUGAAGAGGGAAACAACCCAGACCGCCAGCUAAGGUCCCAAAGUCAUGGUUAAGUGGGAAACGAUGUGGGAAGGCCCAGACAGCCAGGAUGUUGGCUUAGAAGCAGCCAUCAUUUAAAGAAAGCGUAAUAGCUCACUGGUCGAGUCGGCCUGCGCGGAAGAUGUAACGGGGCUAAACCAUGCACCGAAGCUGCGGCAGCGACACUAUGUGUUGUUGGGUAGGGGAGCGUUCUGUAAGCCUGUGAAGGUGGCCUGUGAGGGUUGCUGGAGGUAUCAGAAGUGCGAAUGCUGACAUAAGUAACGAUAAAGCGGGUGAAAAGCCCGCUCGCCGGAAGACCAAGGGUUCCUGUCCAACGUUAAUCGGGGCAGGGUGAGUCGACCCCUAAGGCGAGGCCGAAAGGCGUAGUCGAUGGGAAACAGGUUAAUAUUCCUGUACUUGGUGUUACUGCGAAGGGGGGACGGAGAAGGCUAUGUUGGCCGGGCGACGGUUGUCCCGGUUUAAGCGUGUAGGCUGGUUUUCCAGGCAAAUCCGGAAAACCAAGGCUGAGGCGUGAUGACGAGGCACUACGGUGCUGAAGUGACAAAUGCCCUGCUUCCAGGAAAAGCCUCUAAGCAUCAGGUAACAUCAAAUCGUACCCCAAACCGACACAGGUGGUCAGGUAGAGAAUACCAAGGCGCUUGAGAGAACUCGGGUGAAGGAACUAGGCAAAAUGGUGCCGUAACUUCGGGAGAAGGCACGCUGAUAUGUAGGUGAAGCGACUUGCUCGUGGAGCUGAAAUCAGUCGAAGAUACCAGCUGGCUGCAACUGUUUAUUAAAAACACAGCACUGUGCAAACACGAAAGUGGACGUAUACGGUGUGACGCCUGCCCGGUGCCGGAAGGUUAAUUGAUGGGGUUAGCGGUAACGCGAAGCUCUUGAUCGAAGCCCCGGUAAACGGCGGCCGUAACUAUAACGGUCCUAAGGUAGCGAAAUUCCUUGUCGGGUAAGUUCCGACCUGCACGAAUGGCGUAAUGAUGGCCAGGCUGUCUCCACCCGAGACUCAGUGAAAUUGAACUCGCUGUGAAGAUGCAGUGUACCCGCGGCAAGACGGAAAGACCCCGUGAACCUUUACUAUAGCUUGACACUGAACAUUGAGCCUUGAUGUGUAGGAUAGGUGGGAGGCUUUGAAGUGUGGACGCCAGUCUGCAUGGAGCCGACCUUGAAAUACCACCCUUUAAUGUUUGAUGUUCUAACGUUGGCCCGUAAUCCGGGUUGCGGACAGUGUCUGGUGGGUAGUUUGACUGGGGCGGUCUCCUCCUAAAGAGUAAUGGAGGAGCACGAAGGUUGGCUAAUCCUGGUCGGACAUCAGGAGGUUAGUGCAAUGGCAUAAGCCAGCUUGACUGCGAGCGUGACGGCGCGAGCAGGUGCGAAAGCAGGUCAUAGUGAUCCGGUGGUUCUGAAUGGAAGGGCCAUCGCUCAACGGAUAAAAGGUACUCCGGGGAUAACAGGCUGAUACCGCCCAAGAGUUCAUAUCGACGGCGGUGUUUGGCACCUCGAUGUCGGCUCAUCACAUCCUGGGGCUGAAGUAGGUCCCAAGGGUAUGGCUGUUCGCCAUUUAAAGUGGUACGCGAGCUGGGUUUAGAACGUCGUGAGACAGUUCGGUCCCUAUCUGCCGUGGGCGCUGGAGAACUGAGGGGGGCUGCUCCUAGUACGAGAGGACCGGAGUGGACGCAUCACUGGUGUUCGGGUUGUCAUGCCAAUGGCACUGCCCGGUAGCUAAAUGCGGAAGAGAUAAGUGCUGAAAGCAUCUAAGCACGAAACUUGCCCCGAGAUGAGUUCUCCCUGACUCCUUGAGGGUCCUGAAGGAACGUUGAAGACGACGACGUUGAUAGGCCGGGUGUGUAAGCGCAGCGAUGCGUUGAGCUAACCGGUACUAAUGAACCGUGAGGCUUAACCUU
Molecule: ribosomal RNA, 2902 nt
Filed under: Escherichia coli HVH 39 (4-2679949)
Lineage: Bacteria; Pseudomonadati; Pseudomonadota; Gammaproteobacteria; Enterobacterales; Enterobacteriaceae
Description: bacterial LSU rRNA
Rfam family: Bacterial large subunit ribosomal RNA
Source: RNAcentral